RNAcentral lists this unclassified non-coding RNA (158 nucleotides) under uncultured Pestalotiopsis. RNAcentral describes it as "sequence contains ITS2". The record is from RNAcentral. Lineage: Eukaryota; Fungi; Ascomycota; Sordariomycetes; Amphisphaeriales; Amphisphaeriaceae.
CAACCCUUAAGCCUAGCUUAGUGUUGGGAAUCUACUUCUUUAUAGUUGUAGUUCCUGAAAUACAACGGCGGAUUUGUAGUAUCCUCUGAGCGUAGUAACUUUUUUCUCGCUUUUGUUAGGUGCUAUAACUCCCAGCCGCUAAACCCCCAAUUUUUUGU